Molecule: long non-coding RNA, 1441 nt
Filed under: Numida meleagris (helmeted guineafowl)
Lineage: Eukaryota; Metazoa; Chordata; Aves; Galliformes; Numididae
Description: lncRNA (ENSNMEG00000013353.1)
Source: RNAcentral
ACUAGGUAUACCAGGGCUUAUUACAAAGUCUACCCUUGUUGUGUAUGAAAAUCAAUUCAGCUCUUUAGCCCAGCUGAUAAACAGACUGUCUGUGUCUUUAGGUGAUUCAUCUGUGUGACGAAUGCUAAAAUAUCCAGAUUCAGUUUUCUCCAAGUGUGUAUAUUAUAAAAACAUUGUCUCUGUAACAUGAGUGUUUCACUCUGCUUGGCCUUUCCAUGCUAUAUUGCUAUACACCCCUUUGGCUUGCCAGUCGCAGUCCUGACUGGGGGGAAGAACCCAACAAAUUGGCUUUGCUGCGGGGUUUGCCAGUGGGAGUCCAGGGAGAAAACCAAGCUGAAACUGGCACACACGCUGCAUUUACUUUAAGCUUAUAUUUCAGCCGCCUAGCAAACCCGAUGGGAAACUUGAUUUCUAAACAUGAACAUUAUUGAAUUUUAGCAGCUAUAUUUAGGUCAAUCUCUUCAUGCCAAAAUUAUUAGGCUCUACUAGGAAAAAAAUACAUUACCGUCGAGAAACAUGUUAGCACUACUUGUGUUAAAUGGAAUAACUGUAUUUUAAUGCACUUUUACCCGUACCUGAAGAUCCAGUGUCUGCUUCUGACAUCAUGAAAAACCCGAGAAGCUUGUAUCUGGAUGUUCUACAAGUAUUUUCUUUAUCGGGCAAUCACUCAGUCUGGCUCAGACAGAUAUUUCUGUUGGGGAAAUGCUCUUUACCAUUUUUUUCCUAUGCCUGUGCUUCUCCUUUCUUUGUGCCAGUGCAGGUGUUACAGUGAAGGAGAGUUUGCUGAAGAAAAUGAUCCGGGAAAAAUACCGUGCAGAAAAAGGCCCCGCCAGAGGGACAUCUGUGAUGGCCCGGGUGAGAGCUGCCUCUAAGUUAGAAAUACUGUAAAGGAGCAAGUGCACAACCCCAGGGCUGUGAAUUUCAACACCUCUCCUGGUAGCACACGAAAGGCAGUAUUGUUUCUGAAAGUGCAAUAGUAUUUUAAAAAUCCAAUUAAAGAUCUUACGUUCAAGAUAUCUUGUUUUCUGUUCUAAAUAAUCGGCAGUUUACAGUAAAACUUUGUCAUCCAGGCAAAAGCUUGAAGUUAAGAGAAACAUUAUGUGAUCUUAGAAUCCAUUAUGCAUCUUUUUAUUUAUUGAAGGCUUGCUGUAGAAUCUGCUUGUUUCCGAGGAAUGAAAAUUGCUUAUUAUCCUGGAUAAUGAAAGAGAAUGUCGUCAUCUAUAAUUGUUAGUUUAGGAUACUUACUGUACCCUUCUAUUAUAAAGUGGUUUGCAUAAAAAUGGUUCAGUUAAGGAAGCAGCUUUUAAGGUUUUUCAGAAAAAAAAAGAAGGAUUUGUAUAUAAGUGAAGUUUAUGCAUUUUUGACUGCAAAAUGUAUUGGAACAAGUUUCUAAUUGACAGAUUGUAAUUUGAAUAUGUGUGCUAUCUGCUGAGUGCAAUCC